This is a non-coding RNA of Nerophis lumbriciformis (worm pipefish), 83 nucleotides long. The record is from RefSeq and is a predicted model, not a curated record. NCBI's taxonomy places the organism in Eukaryota, Metazoa, Chordata, Actinopteri, Syngnathiformes, Syngnathidae.
UGCAUCACUGAUGAUAAUCUGGCUCCCUCUACCGAAAACCGUGACGAUAUUGCCACUGUUACCCAAAUUGUGUCUGAGAUGCA